This 497-nucleotide ribosomal RNA is filed under the name uncultured bacterium. Its description in RNAcentral is "partial 16S ribosomal RNA". It matches the Rfam family "Bacterial small subunit ribosomal RNA", at positions 28 to 507 of the family's 1533-position model. The record is from RNAcentral.
GAUGAACGCUGGCGGCGUGCCUAAUACAUGCAAGCCGAGCGAACAGACGAGGAGCUUGCUCCUCUGACGUUAUCGGCGGACGGGUGAGUAACACGUGGAUAACCUACCUAUAAGACUGGGAUAACUUCGGGAAACCGGAGCUAAUACCGGAUAAUAUAUUGAACCGCAUGGUUCAAUAGUGAAAGACGGUUUUGCUGUCACUUAUAGAUGGAUCCGCGCCGCAUUAGCUAGUUGGUAAGGUAACGGCUUACCAAGGCAACGAUGCGUAGCCGACCUGAGAGGGUGAUCGGCCAGCCUGGAACUGAGACACGGUCCAGACUCCGACGGUAGGCAGCAGUAGGGAAUCUUCCGCAAUGGGCGAGAGCUUGACGGAGCAAAGCCGCGUGAGUGAUGAAGGUCUUCGGAUCGUAAAACUCUGUUAGUAGGGAAGAACAAAUGUGUAAGUAACUGUGCACGUAUUGACAGUACCUAAUCAGAAAGCCACGGCUAACUACGUG